UGGCGGCAUGCCUAACACAUGCAAGUCGAACGCUCCGCAAGGGGAGUGGCGAACGGGUGAGUAACGCGUGGGAAUCUACCCAGCAGUGGGGAAUAACCGCGGGAAACUGCGGCUAAUACCGCAUACGCCCUUAGGGGGAAAGAUUUAUCGCUGUUGGAGGAGCCCGCGUCGGAUUAGCUAGUUGGUGAGGUAAUGGCUCACCAAGGCGACGAUCGAUAGGUGGUCUGAGAGGACGAUCACCCAGACUGGGACUGAGACACGGCCCAGACUCC
This 272-nucleotide ribosomal RNA is filed under the name uncultured bacterium. RNAcentral's name for it is "partial 16S ribosomal RNA". It matches the Rfam family "Bacterial small subunit ribosomal RNA", at positions 37 to 339 of the family's 1533-position model. The record is from RNAcentral.